UCUCUCUGGGGCUGUGCUCCCUUCUUAGGCGCUGCUUUGGGAAAAGCUCCACAGAACGUCCUCACCUGGGGCUCUGGUGAGGGAGCAGAGCUGGCCUGCCCUGGGGGCGGCCUCACUUCGGCCUUCUCCUUACACAUUCCUGCCUAGAGGAUGGUGAGGAAUCCCAGAAGUUGUGAGGGGCAAUUCCCGUUUUCCCCACUCGGCUGAGGAAGCACCUUGAGGAGGGGGCAGCCAUAGGAUGGAGCCUGCAUAGUAUUAUUUCAAUGAAAAAUUCAAGAUGCCAUGGCACAAGACAAAUGCCACUUAUGCAGCUGAAGUCAGAUGUAAGAGGUCAGCCUCUAGGAAUCUCCUGAAAAAAGCAAAGUGACAUUAGAGAUGAGUUAAUGUGCAUCAUCCUCUGUCAGAGCUCCAUUGGAAAUAUGAAGCACACCAGCACACUCAGCAGCUCCAGUGAUCUUGGUGGUGAUCAGUGGCCAAGGUCUUCUGUCUGUGUCUACCCACAGAAGGGGGACUCUGCAUCUUCCCAAAUAAUCCAGUUCCAGGACAAAGUUGUAUCUCUGACAGGAGUCUGUCAUGGUUCUAUUAAAGGUUCAUAGAAGUUGAGAUGCUUCAAGGGAACCUGCUGUGAUGGCAGCCAAGGAAGGUUUCUCAUCAAACCUGCUUUGCUGCAGUGUUUCAUACUGGGGAGCUUCACUUGUGUGCGUUCUGUUACUGUACACAUGAAACUUUUUGGGGCAAGGACCCUUCAGAUGUAUGAUUUUGGUGCAUGAUGGUGUCAGUUCUGCACAACAUAAUAUGAUAAUGAAAACAAUGAAGAGUGGUAUGAAAAACAGGAGGAGAAAAUGCUAUACAUGUUAUUAGAGAUGUGACUCAAAACCCUGUCAAAUUCUAAUGUUUCCCUUGUGCUGCUGUUUUCUGGGUCUAUGUGGGUAGUGCUUUCCUAUGGAUUUGUUGAGGCACUUGAAAUAACUCAGCACAAUUCUCAGCACUGCUGGGGCUGGUUUAAGUUUAUACCAUUCAUGUAGGAUGUUUUUUGCUAGUCAAAAGCAAGCAUGUGUUGCAUGACUGUCUCCAUGAAAACUCCUAAAACUCACCAAGUGCCACAUCUGAAUUUCAGCCAAGGCUUCAGUGCAAGAAACAAAAGGGGUGUAGGUUACCAUUUGCCUACAGCAUGAAAACCCCCACCUGCCAAACCACUGUGCUUAGUUUUAUACAAAACUUUGUUCCUGCUGAGUGUUUUUAUGCCAGAUGUUCCCUGUGGUUGAGCAUACAGGCUCUAUCUUCUCACAAUUGCAUCAGAGCAAAUGAGCUAUGACACUGCUUGCCUAUUUUUAAGUAAGUUCAAUGUUGUCCAUCUAAUGAAUGCUAAGGCAUACUCUGCCUGUGGGAAAUGCAGGCUUUGCAUGGUAGAACAGUUAGGGAGAAGCUUUGUAUGUUUUAUAUUUUAAAAAGCCAAGCAAAACUCAAGCCCUACCAAAUAAAUAUGUGUCCUGAAAGUUGCAAUAAACAGCCACUGUUUCACUC
This is a long non-coding RNA of Zonotrichia leucophrys gambelii, 1524 nucleotides long. RefSeq lists it as uncharacterized. The transcript is spliced from 5 exons. Lineage: Eukaryota; Metazoa; Chordata; Aves; Passeriformes; Passerellidae. The record is from RefSeq and is a predicted model, not a curated record.